UGAGGAAUAUUGGUCAAUGGGCGAGAGCCUGAACCAGCCAAGUAGCGUGCAGGAUGACGGCCCUAUGGGUUGUAAACUGCUUGUAUGUGGGGAUAAAGUGCGUGACGUGUCAUGCAUUGCAGGUACCACAUGAAUAAGGACCGGCUAAUUCCGUGCCAGCAGCCGCGGUAAUACGGAAGGUCCGGGCGUUAUCCGGAUUUAGUGGGUUUAAAGGGAGCGUAGGCUGUCUAUUAAGCGUGUUGUGAAAUUUACCGGCUCAACCGGUGGCUUGCAGCGCGAACUGGUCGACUUGAGUAUGCAGGAAGUAGGCGGAAUUCAUGGUGUAGCGGUGAAAUGCUUAGAUAUCAUGACGAACUCCGAUUGCGCAGGCAGCUUACUGUAGCAUAACUGACGCUGAUGUUCGAAAGUGCGGGUAUCAAACAGG
Molecule: ribosomal RNA, 424 nt
Filed under: Verrucomicrobiota bacterium
Lineage: Bacteria; Pseudomonadati; Verrucomicrobiota
Description: Verrucomicrobia bacterium partial 16S ribosomal RNA
Rfam family: Bacterial small subunit ribosomal RNA
Source: RNAcentral